UGACUUAUCUCUUUAUUGAAGCAGGUCGAAGGAUUUCUUUGCUCCGGCAAGAUUCGCAAUUCUGAAAUCCAAAGCUAUUUUCAACUUCAAGCGUAGACUAACGUUAGAUCUACUUCAAGGGAGCUUUUCAUCGGUCGUAAGAGCUCUGAUGUUUGGCGAGCCAUUGAAGAAGAAAAAGAGUAAAGGCAAGAACAAGAAAGGCAAGAACCAAGAGAGAGAACAAAGAGCCAUACAGAAGCUGGAGCCAAUGACAGAUGUACAUGGUCAUUCCAAUGGACCUUUUCUGAUCAGUGCUCCUCUAUCUACCAUUAUCAACUGGGCUCCAGACUUCUACAUCGUCACAUACACUGGAGACAAGGACGGAAGAGCUAUUAUCAGGUAAGAAUUGUCUGCUCUCUGUGUCUCUUUCUGUCCAUCUGUCUGUCCUUUCGUCUGUCAUCUCUCUUGCUUUGUCUAUAUUCUUUCAGUUCUCUACUAAGUACAUCCUGGGAACUUUGCUGAUAACCAAAUCAGUAGCAAGGAUUUCAGUAGCUUAUAACAAAAACUGUCAUUUGACACUGAUGACAAGUUAUGUGAAACAGGUCCCUGAA
Long non-coding RNA from Strongylocentrotus purpuratus (purple sea urchin), 590 nucleotides. RefSeq lists it as uncharacterized. NCBI's taxonomy places the organism in Eukaryota, Metazoa, Echinodermata, Echinoidea, Camarodonta, Strongylocentrotidae. The transcript is spliced from 3 exons. The record is from RefSeq and is a predicted model, not a curated record.